UCCCUGGUGGUCCAGUAGUUAGGACUUGGCACUUCCACUGCCAAGGGCCCAGGUUCAAUCCCUGGUUGGGGAA
Molecule: transfer RNA, 73 nt
Filed under: Ovis aries (sheep)
Lineage: Eukaryota; Metazoa; Chordata; Mammalia; Artiodactyla; Bovidae
Description: tRNA-Gly (TCC) (tRNA-Gly-TCC-9-1)
Rfam family: tRNA
About the family: Transfer RNA (tRNA) molecules are approximately 80 nucleotides in length. Their secondary structure includes four short double-helical elements and three loops (D, anti-codon, and T loops). Further hydrogen bonds mediate the characteristic L-shaped molecular structure. tRNAs have two regions of fundamental functional importance: the anti-codon, which is responsible for specific mRNA codon recognition, and the 3' end, to which the tRNAs corresponding amino acid is attached (by aminoacyl-tRNA synthetases). tRNAs cope with the degeneracy of the genetic code in two manners: having more than one tRNA (with a specific anti-codon) for a particular amino acid; and 'wobble' base-pairing, i.e. permitting non-standard base-pairing at the 3rd anti-codon position.
Source: Rfam by way of RNAcentral